AACGAACGCUGGCGGCAUGCCUAACACAUGCAAGUCGAACGAGACCUUCGGGUCUAGUGGCGCACGGGUGCGUAACGCGUGGGAACCUGCCCUUAGGUUCGGAACAACUCCCCGAAAGGGGUGCUAAUACCGGAUAAUGUCUUCGGACCAAAGAUGUAUCGCCUUUGGAUGGGCCCGGGUUGGAUUAGCUAGUUGGUAGGGUAAAAGCCUACCAAGGGGACGAUCCAUAGCUGGUCUGAGAGGAUGAUCAGCCACACUGGGACUGCGACACGGCCCAGACUCCUACGGGAGGCAGCAGUGGGGAAUAUUGGACAAUGGGCGCAAGCCUGAUCCAGCAGUGCCGCGUAAGUGAUGAAGGCCUUAGGGUUGUAAAGCUCUUUUACCCGGGAUGAUAAUGACAGUACCGGGAGAAUAAGCUCCGGCUAACUCCGUG
Molecule: ribosomal RNA, 433 nt
Filed under: uncultured bacterium
Lineage: Bacteria
Description: partial 16S ribosomal RNA
Rfam family: Bacterial small subunit ribosomal RNA
Source: RNAcentral